GCGUGGGUCGGCCCGCUGUACUGGAUCCAGCGGGCUGGGGGACACCGCCGCCUUCAUCCCCGCGGGUGGCGGACCGGUCCGGGAGGCGAAUUCCGCCUCCCGGACCGUG
Molecule: small RNA, 109 nt
Organism: Streptomyces sp.
Lineage: Bacteria; Bacillati; Actinomycetota; Actinomycetes; Kitasatosporales; Streptomycetaceae
Rfam family: Streptomyces RNA 4115
About the family: Identified by deep sequencing of transcriptome at the end of exponential growth phase. Sequencing size consistent with notrthern blot size.
Source: Rfam